This 210-nucleotide ribosomal RNA is filed under the name uncultured Comamonas sp. RNAcentral describes it as "partial 16S ribosomal RNA". It matches the Rfam family "Bacterial small subunit ribosomal RNA", at positions 1174 to 1382 of the family's 1533-position model. The record is from RNAcentral. Lineage: Bacteria; Pseudomonadati; Pseudomonadota; Betaproteobacteria; Burkholderiales; Comamonadaceae.
UGGGGAUGACGUCAAGUCCUCAUGGCCCUUAUAGGUGGGGCUACACACGUCAUACAAUGGCUGGUACAAAGGGUUGCCCAACCCGCGAGGGGGAGCUAAUCCCAUAAAGCCAGUCGUAGUCCGGAUCGCAGUCUGCAACUCGACUGCGUGAAGUCGGAAUCGCUAGUAAUCGUGGAUCAGAAUGUCACGGUGAAUACGUUCCCGGGUCUU